GUAGGUGGCAAGCGUUGUCCGGGAAUUAUUGGGGCGUAAAGCGCGCGCAGGCGGUCCUUUAAGGUCUGAUGUGAAAGCCCACGGGCUCAACCGUGGAGGGUCAUUGGAAACUGAGGGACUUGAGUACAGAAGAGGAAAGCGGAAUUCCACGUGUAGCGGUGAAAUGCGUAGAGAUGUGGAGGAACACCAGUGGCGAAGGCGGCUUUCUGGUCUGUAACUGACGCUGAGGCGCGAAAGCGUGGGGAGCAAACAGGAUUAGAUACCCUGGUAGUCCACGCCGUAAACGAUGAGUGCUAAGUGUUAGGGGGUUUCCGCCCCUUAGUGCUGCAGCUAACGCAUUAAGCACUCCGCCUGGGGAGUACGACCGCAAAGGUUGA
This 377-nucleotide ribosomal RNA is filed under the name uncultured organism. RNAcentral describes it as "partial 16S ribosomal RNA". It matches the Rfam family "Bacterial small subunit ribosomal RNA", at positions 527 to 897 of the family's 1533-position model. The record is from RNAcentral.